RNA transcript from Diceros bicornis minor, 780 nucleotides. It is a transcript of the gene named ral guanine nucleotide dissociation stimulator-like, with no coding region annotated. The record is from RefSeq and is a predicted model, not a curated record. Lineage: Eukaryota; Metazoa; Chordata; Mammalia; Perissodactyla; Rhinocerotidae. The transcript has 3 exons.
UAAAUGUGCCCUUCUGGGACUCCCUGAGCAUCUGUCUCAUCCAGGAGGGGAGAUUUAAAUAGAAGGGGACUGAAGCUAGAGCAAGUGGGGCUACAGUGCCCCACCUCACAGCUCAUUCUCUUCCCUUCCCCAGGAGUGCGAGAACCUGAAGAACUUCUCCUCGCCCUGCACUGUCAUCUCUGCUCUGCAGAAAACCUCCACAAGCCACCUGAAGAACACACGGGGGAAGUUUCCCGGUGGGGUGCCGUUUGUGGGCAGGAGGCCCUGGUCAUGAGACACAAUGGUGUUGGCUGGGCUGUUCCAGGAGGAGUUGCCGAGCUGGCGCCAUCAACAGGUCUCUGGCUUCCAUGAAGCCAGGACCCCGCUGCUCCUUCUAUCUUCACCACAUCUCCAAGGGGCUGCAGCCUGCCUGCCCCAGGGAUGCGCAUGGCAGAGGAUUCCCAUGGCCCAGGUGGACAAACAGGCUGCUCAUCCUUAGGUGAGAGAUGUGUGUGCAUUCUGGGACUCCCCCCUGGACCCCUAGAGCAGUCACUUGAGUGAACCACAGGAGUCUAACCUGAGUGCCUGGUUGGCAAUGACAUAUGCCCCCGGUGGCUUAUGAGAAGCGUCUAGGCAACUGAUGGAUUCUUAGUGGAUCCUGCUGAAAGGAAGUUAGGAGUCUCAUGUAAACAGGGAAUCAAAAUGUCCUGUCAUCCCCUUCCCUGUUGAUCAGAGGUGGCACCUUGGGGGUCCAGUUCCUGAGUGGAUAAAGAAAGAGUUCAGGGGCCUGCCCAGUGGCGC